AUUGAACGCUGGCGGCAGGCCUAACACAUGCAAGUCGAGCGGAUGAAGGGAGCUUGCUCCUGGAUUCAGCGGCGGACGGGUGAGUAAUGCCUAGGAAUCUGCCUGGUAGUGGGGGAUAACGUCCGGAAACGGGCGCUAAUACCGCAUACGUCCUGAGGGAGAAAGUGGGGGAUCUUCGGACCUCACGCUAUCAGAUGAGCCUAUGUCGGAUUAGCGAGUUGGUGGGGUAAAGGCCUACCAAGGCGACGAUCCGUAACUGGUCUGAGAGGAUGAUCAGUCACACUGGAACUGAGACACGGUCCAGACUCCUACGGGAGGCAGCAGUGGGGAAUAUUGGACAAUGGGCGAAAGCCUGAUCCAGCCAUGCCGCGUGUGUGAAGAAGGUCUUCGGAUUGUAAAGCACUUUAAGUUGGGAGGAAGGGCAGUAAGUUAAUACCUUGCUGUUUUGACGUUACCAACAGAAUAAGCACCGGCUAACUUCGUG
RNAcentral lists this ribosomal RNA (484 nucleotides) under uncultured bacterium. RNAcentral's name for it is "partial 16S ribosomal RNA". It matches the Rfam family "Bacterial small subunit ribosomal RNA", at positions 30 to 507 of the family's 1533-position model. The record is from RNAcentral.